AAAAAGAAGAAGAAUAAGAAGAAAGCCCCUCAGCAGAGAGCCUUGCAAACCAAUGCUGCCCUGCCCAUCUGCUGUCUCACCCCAAAUCCCCAAUACCUGUUGGUUCUACAUGAGACAUUUACCCCUUAGUAAAGAAAAUUUAUAGGUAAAGCAAAAUUGUAGGUAAUUGUCUGAAUUGAAUUAUAGGCGUGCUUUUUCACCGAUCAAAAUGCAACUUAAAUUUUUAACAAUCUUUGUAUGGUAGCAAACUUUUCUUUUUACAUAUGUAGGAAAAGUUGAACUUUAGAUUGAUUUUCUUUUUGAACUUUAAAUGGAAAAUGGUAUUUUGUGUAGUCACAUGUUCAAAAUUAAGAACUAGCUGAUUGAUCUUUUUCCCCCUUCUCCUGGUUGAACCAACCAAUUUUACAAACUUAAAAAAUUUAUUUCUUUGUCUAGGUAUUGAACUUAUGUUAUCUUAAAUUUUUUUGAUGAAUUUAAUUUGUAAAAAGUUCUGGGUUUAUAUUAGUUUGGAAGUGGCCUAUGGGGCAGUGCUCGUAAGAACUUAGGGGGGCAUAACUUUUUGUAUUAUAAAUGUAUAACACUUUAUGCCAAUUUUCACUUUAUUUCGACUUUGGGCCAUCCAACUCUACUAUUCUAUUUCUGCAUGUGGGUAUGCUGUCUGUUGUAAUAUUUAUUGUAAAUGUGAAAUUAUUAGUACACUGCAGUACAAGAUGCCAUUGGCUUGGACUUCAUAAUCAUGCUUUGUCUAAUUAAUUUUUCUUUUCCUUUUUUCUUUUGAAAUCAAAGUAGACAUUCUUGCGUCAGAAGUUAACUUUAGCCUCUUCUGGAACAA
This 832-nucleotide unclassified non-coding RNA is filed under the name Hevea brasiliensis (rubber tree). The record is from RNAcentral. Lineage: Eukaryota; Viridiplantae; Streptophyta; Magnoliopsida; Malpighiales; Euphorbiaceae.